AACUUUUAGCAAUGUAUCACUUGGUUCCGGCAUCGAUUAAGAACGCAGCGAAAUGCGAUAACUAAUGUGAAUUGCAGAAUUCAGUGAAUCAUCGAGUCUUUGAACGCACAUUGCGCCCCCUGGUAUUCCGGGGGGCAUGCCUGUCCGAGCGUCAUUGCUGCCCUCAAGCACGGCUUGUGUGUUGGGCUCCGUCCCCCCGGGGACGGGCCCGAAAGGCAGCGGCGGCACCGAGUCCGGUCCUCGAGCGUAUGGGGCUUUGUCACCCGCUCUGUAGGCCCGGCCGGCGCCAGCCGACAACCCAUCAUCCUUUUCAGGUUGACCUCGGAUCAGGUAGGGAUACCCGCUGAACUUAAGCAUAUCAAUAAGCGGAGGCU
RNAcentral lists this unclassified non-coding RNA (374 nucleotides) under uncultured Penicillium. RNAcentral describes it as "sequence contains ITS2". The stretch from base 1 to 154 matches the Rfam family "5.8S ribosomal RNA". Lineage: Eukaryota; Fungi; Ascomycota; Eurotiomycetes; Eurotiales; Aspergillaceae. The record is from RNAcentral.